CAGUAGCCGCGGGAAUACGGAGGGGGCUAGCGUUGUUCGGAAUUACUGGGCGUAAAGCGCACGUAGGCGGCUUGGUAAGUUAGAGGUGAAAGCCUGGAGCUCAACUCCAGAAUUGCCUUUAAGACUGCCGAGCUAGCAGGUGAGAGAGGUAAGUGGAAUUCCGAGUGUAGAGGUGAAAUUCGUAGAUCUCGAGAGGAACACCAAUGGCGAAGGCAGCUUCUUGGUCCAUUCCUGACGUUCAUACACGAAAGCGUGGGGAGCAAACAGGAUUAGAUACCCCCGUAGUCCCUGUCUCUUAUAA
RNAcentral lists this ribosomal RNA (301 nucleotides) under uncultured bacterium. RNAcentral's name for it is "partial 16S ribosomal RNA". It matches the Rfam family "Bacterial small subunit ribosomal RNA", at positions 509 to 809 of the family's 1533-position model. The record is from RNAcentral.